This 453-nucleotide ribosomal RNA is filed under the name uncultured Alloprevotella sp. RNAcentral's name for it is "partial 16S ribosomal RNA". It matches the Rfam family "Bacterial small subunit ribosomal RNA", at positions 341 to 792 of the family's 1533-position model. Lineage: Bacteria; Pseudomonadati; Bacteroidota; Bacteroidia; Bacteroidales; Prevotellaceae. The record is from RNAcentral.
ACGGGAGGCAGCAGUGAGGAAUAUUGGUCAAUGGACGGAAGUCUGAACCAGCCAAGUCGCGUGCGGGAGGAAGGCCCUACGGGUCGUAAACCGCUUUUGUACGGGGAUAAAGUCACCCACGUGUGGGUGUUUGUAGGUACCGUAAGAAUAAGGAUCGGCUAACUCCGUGCCAGCAGCCGCGGUAAUACGGAGGAUCCGAGCGUUAUCCGGAUUUAUUGGGUUUAAAGGGAGCGUAGGCGGAUUAUCAAGUCAGUGGUAAAAUCGUGUGGCCCAACCAUACCUCGCCAUUGAAACUGUUAGUCUUGAGUGCACGCAGGGAUGCUGGAAUUCGUUGUGUAGCGGUGAAAUGCUUAGAUAUGACGAAGAACUCCGAUCGCGAAGGCAGGUGUCUGGAGUGCAACUGACGCUGAGGCUCGAAAGUGCGGGUAUCAAACAGGAUUAGAUACCCUGGUA